AUUAGAGUUUGAUCCUGGCUCAGAAUCAGGCGGGCGCCUAACACAUGCAAGUCGAACGAGAAAGCGGGAGCAAUCUCGCAAGUACAGUGGCGUACGGGUGAGUAACACGUGGAUGAUCUGCCCUGGAGUGGGGAAUAACGCUGGGAAACCGGCGCUAAUACCGCAUAUUCCCGAGAGGGGAAAGCAGCAAUGCGCUCGAGGAGGAGUCCGCGGCCGAUUAGCUAGUUGGCAGGGUAAAAGCCUACCAAGGCUAUGAUCGGUAGCCGGCCUGAGAGGGCACACGGCCACACUGGCACUGAAACACGGGCCAGACUCCUACGGGAGGCAGCAGUGGGGAAUCUUGCACAAUGGGGGAAACCCUGAUGCAGCGACGCCGCGUGAGCGAUGAAGCCUUCGGGGUGUAAAGCUCUUUCGGCAGGGAAGAUUAUGACGGUACCUGCAGAAGCAGCUGCGGCUAACUACGUGCCAGCAGCCGCGGUAAUACGUAGGCAGCUAGCGUUGUUCGGAGUUACUGGUCGUAAAGGGUGUGUAGGCGGCCUGUUAAGUUCCGUGUGUCUCCCGGCUCAACCGGGAGGGUGCGCGGAAUACUGACGGGCUACAGUGCGGGAUGG
RNAcentral lists this ribosomal RNA (611 nucleotides) under uncultured bacterium. Its description in RNAcentral is "bacterial SSU rRNA". It matches the Rfam family "Bacterial small subunit ribosomal RNA", at positions 1 to 656 of the family's 1533-position model. The record is from RNAcentral.